CAGUCGCCGCGGUAAUACGAAGGGGGCUAGCGUUGCUCGGAAUGACUGGGCGUAAAGGGCGCGUAGGCGGAUCACGCAGUCAGAUGUGAAAUUCCUGGGCUUAACCUGGGGGCUGCAUUUGAGACGCGUGGUCUAGAGUGUGAAAGAGGGUCGUGGAAUUCCCAGUGUAGAGGUGAAAUUCGUAGAUAUUGGGAAGAACACCGGUGGCGAAGGCGGCGACCUGGUUCAUGACUGACGCUGAGGCGCGAAAGCGUGGGGAGCAAACAGGAUUAGAUACCCCUGUAGUCCCUGUCUCUUAUAC
RNAcentral lists this ribosomal RNA (301 nucleotides) under uncultured bacterium. RNAcentral describes it as "partial 16S ribosomal RNA". It matches the Rfam family "Bacterial small subunit ribosomal RNA", at positions 509 to 807 of the family's 1533-position model. The record is from RNAcentral.